CAAAUCGGACUAGGAUAUAGCUGGUUUUCUGCGAAAUCUAUUUUGGUAGAUGACUUGUUAUUAUUUGUAGUGGGUAUAGCACUGAAUGUCUAACUUAUGUUAGAAGGGAGUAUGAAGGUACUUACUUUGGAUAUUUAAUCUCAGAAUAGCUAUUAAUAUAUGAUGAGUUAUCAGACUUCUUGCGAUAAGGUGAGGAGUCGAGAGGA
RNAcentral lists this ribosomal RNA (206 nucleotides) under Pneumocystis carinii. RNAcentral describes it as "partial large subunit ribosomal RNA". It matches the Rfam family "Bacterial large subunit ribosomal RNA", at positions 829 to 1019 of the family's 2925-position model. Lineage: Eukaryota; Fungi; Ascomycota; Pneumocystomycetes; Pneumocystales; Pneumocystaceae. The record is from RNAcentral.